This 3900-nucleotide small RNA is filed under the name Rattus norvegicus (Norway rat). RNAcentral's name for it is "uncharacterized LOC102555043". The record is from RNAcentral. Lineage: Eukaryota; Metazoa; Chordata; Mammalia; Rodentia; Muridae.
GGCGGGGCUGAUGACUCACGCAGUCGGGCCUCCGCCCCGCCGGGCCGCGCGCACGUGAGCGCGCAGCUCGGCCGGUCUAAUUUUAGCUCUGAGGUGUCAGGGUCGUGUGAGCUUCUGGCACCAUGAAAACACGGAGAAAGGUUAUAGGUCAGUUCCAGUUCUAUUUUUCUGUCCCGUAACCAAGGAACGUGGGAUCUUUAGCCAAUGGAGUCUCACCAUCUUGUUCUGCAUGCAGAAUCCCUAUGCAGACUUCACAGAGAGCACCCCUUACAGAAGCUAUCAGAGCUGAUGGGUGGCGGUAGGCUGCAACGAGAAGACCUGAGACUUCCUGGACAACAGCAAUCACCAGAUGCCAGAGAGGCUCCCUCCCAUCGCCAGCUAUACAGCGUGUGCAGCAGCAUAAUUCGAUGCCCAAAGGUACAGAAUCCAAAGACAGGAAAUUCCAGGACUCCUAAGAGAGAAGCUGCCUUCAGCGUCAAGUUCCUGGCCUGUACAAAUCCAAAGAUCCCGCCUCAGUCUACCUGACCAGACAUUGGUCAUUGGCUCUUCAAUCAAAAACCAAAUGGAGACAAGGACCUUCAGCAUUUGGAUGGGCAGAUUCCUGAUUAGGGAGACUGGAUUAAUGCAAAGCAUUAGAAUCAAUCCCCAACAGCAAAGCGUCUUCUGGUCAGCUUCAUGCCUGCUUUCUCCUUUAGGGAUCAGCCAGAAAGAAUGGCUUGCUGUCUUCUACACCCCACCCUUCAGUUUCCUCCUCCUUGGAAUUUCGUCUCCAGGCUCUGUGCGGGCUGCUUCCUCUUUCUAAAUGUCAUCUCUGCUGUUUUCAUGGAUGUGUGCUCUCCCUCUCUGCUCAAAACAUCACAGGAUUCCGGCUCUCCUCAGUAACCUUUGCCCUUGUGAAUUCUUGACAUUCUCCUUGGCCACAUUGCCCUGUGUCAUAAUUCCAGGGCUGUAAAUUAAGAGUGUCACACAUCAGCACAGAAACUGCAAAUCUGUGCACGGAGCUCUGAGCACAGCCACAGAGGGCAGCUUCCUGGCUGGCCCUUGUGCCUCUGUCUCUGAAUGCAGCUGUGUCCCAGUGCUUAGUUAGCCUUCCCUCUCCCCCACCAUCUUGGUGAAUUCACCAAGUCUAGCUCUAUGCCAGCAUGGGCUGCAGCAGCGCAAGCCCCUCCUGAGUGAUCAGAUCACUCAACCUCCAGUACCCUCUGGCUCCUACAGCCAGUGACGGCUGUGCUGUCCUUGCUUAGGCCGCACCGGAGACACAGCUGACUUCUGUUCCUCAUGCCUGCAUCCCCUUCGACCUGCCAACAGAUUUGGACACUUGCUCCUCUUGCCAUUCUGCUGUGAACCACACAGCCCUUGCCUGCUUUGUCCAGUUGACAUUAAUGUCUCCCUGCUUCCUGGUAUACGCUGGCUUCCUCUGUAAUUCAGACAGCUAACUCAGCAGCCCCAUUCUCCUGGGAAGUCAGCAGUGGCCUCUCCUCAGCCCAGAGCCUUCUGAUGGUAUCAUGUCCUAAUUCUAAGUAAGAACUGGUGUCCUCUCAAUGGCCUGUGUAGUUCCUAGCACUGUGGUACUUCAGGUGUACCCCAGUUCCAGGCCUGGACAAUAGCCUCCUCUCUGCUUGGAACAUGUUUCUAAGUACCUGCACAGCACAGGUGCACGGCACAGGUGCACAGCACAGCUGCUUGGCACAGGUGCACCUUUGGGUUUAUUCAGUUCUUCCUAGCAUCCCCACCCUUUCUUUGUCCUUUCUUUUUGUCUGUGACACUUACCCCAGAUGAACAUACUAUAUACUUUUUAUUCCAUUGUCUUUCUGAUAGAGUGGAAGCUCCUGAGAGGAUAGGUUUUUAAUCUGACACAUUGUGGGUGCCCAGUAACUAUGUUUAAGUGAAGGGAUGGACGGGAGAGAAUGGUUCAGAUGUCCCUGAGUCAGCUUUCCUAGGAGGAGGGGUGUGUUUGUCCUGUAUCAAACUGGAUGCCAGGGAAUAGUUAGAGAAAAUGUGCUUCAGACCAUCAAGUUCAGCUGCUGGUCCCUUGACUGAUACCCAGGCCUAGCGACAGGAAAAGCAUCCCAAACAGCACAGCACACUGACGUGGACUCCUAGCUCUCAGUCUGCCUCGUAAUCCUCUUGUUGCUCACAGUCAGAGGUUAGUCUCCAGAGUUCUACGUCUAGGAAAGGGAAUGAGGUGUGAGGAGGGGGUAUUUUUAGCCCUGCUGGUUUGGUUUCUCAGCACAAGUGUCUAAAGAAAGCUCCGGUUUUAGUAUGAAAUCAGGAAGUAAGAGGACUGAGUGGCUUCUCUGGAGAUGGCUGCGUGAGCCCAUUGCCACACAGGAUUAGGCCACAGCAAGUUCCCAGGAAGCGUCUCUGCAGAGUCAUCCAAGGCUCAGCAGUAAGAGCAUUCGGUCCACCGGUUAGAAGGGCCACCCAGACAGGCUGUGGGCAGUCAGACUCUCAGUGAGGGAAGGUGGGACUCAAAGUUCUGACAAUGGGGACUGCCAUGCAAGCUCCCAGGGGCGGGAGUGGGGUUUGGGGGGAACAGAUGCGAGCUGCCUGUGACAGUGACAUGAGGCCUUCCUUCCCCUUUGGAAGUUGAAGGUACAGAAGAAGCGAACACGCAGGAGGGCAAGGGUCAUAGUCACCUAGAAAUGACGGCUCGAUGUGUGUACCACGGAGGAGUGGUGGGAAGCAGCCUGGUUGGUAAUGCAUUCCAGGAGAACAUGGCUGCUGUGGACCCAAUGUCCCCACUAAAACUCCUCCAUAAAGUGUUCUGAGGGAGCACGCAGAGCUGGGUCAUGAUAGCUUGGUCCUCAUGAAUAGAUUAGCCCAUCCAUGGGCUCAAGUGUCCGUCAGCUUCCUUCCAUCUCUCUGGGUUCAUGGUCUCUGAGACACCGUUGCCUUCCAGCCUGUGACAAGGCAGAGCAUCUGGGGGAGAGAAGGGCGGGGCAGAGCAGCACACCUCAUGGCAGCCGAGAAGCAGAAGGCAGAGCGAAGGGCUGCUAACAUCCCCUUUGAGAGGGUUCCCAGAGUGACCAAAUGACCUCCCAUUAGGUCCCACCUCUUAAAGGACAUACCCCUUCCCAAGAGCCCCGUGAGCUGGGGACCCAGCUUUUUAGGCACAGGCUUUCGGGGGACACUUACCUAGAUCAUAACAAUGAGUUCCCCUCACAACAGGUCCGUUUGAAAGCCAGUUUGGUGCACUGUAGGAUGCCCCGUUUUGCCAUGUGAUCCCCUAUGCCAUCUAGAAUGCUAAAGAGCAGUGUUUCUCAACCUGUGGGCUGUGACCCCUUUGGGGUCACCUAAGGCCAUUGGAAAGCACACGUUGUUACAUUACAAUUCAAAACAGUAGCAAAGUCACAGUUAUAAAGUAGCAACAGAAAUGAUUUUAUGGUUGGGGGUCACCACAGCAUGAGGUACUGUAUUAGGUUGAGGUCCACUGCUCUAGUGAGGGCCUUACCAGCAAUGAGAACCUCAGAAGAUGGGGCGAGCCAGCCAUGAGCUUCCCAGCCUUCAGAGCUGUAGAAUAACCAGACUCUGGCGUGCCGUUGCAGCGACAGAAAACAGAGAAAAUGAAGCUCACAAGACUCGCUAGUGGGGCCGCCAAAGGAGAAAGUGAGGUAUCCGUGGCGGCUUCUGGGAUUCAGGAGACCAACUCAGUAAGCGGCGAUCUGUAACUAUGGCGAGAAGUGAAGUGGGCUGUGGGCGAAUUUUGUUCUGUUUUUCAAAAUGAUUUCAGACUACGUUGGCCAGUUGUACAUUGACUUAACGCGAGCUCCAGUCACCUGAGAGAGGGGAACCUAAAUCAAGAAAAGAUCAGGUUGUAGGAAAGCCUGUGGGGCAUUUUCUUAAUUCUUAAUUCUUAAUUAAUUAUUAAUUAUUGAUGGAGUCGGGCCCAGCCCAUUG